Long non-coding RNA from Alosa alosa (allis shad), 177 nucleotides. RefSeq lists it as uncharacterized. Lineage: Eukaryota; Metazoa; Chordata; Actinopteri; Clupeiformes; Clupeidae. The transcript is spliced from 3 exons. The record is from RefSeq and is a predicted model, not a curated record.
GAUGGGCUUCUUGAAAUGACCCUACAAAGCACUACUACUACAGUAUGGCAAUGUCAAGGGGAGAAUCGGUCACCAUCAUCCUAAUGAUUUGUUCUGUUGUGGUAGCAGAGGCAUUCACUUUUUCUCAGCUCACAGAUGAGCAUAGAAUUCAACCCCACCUUCGAAUGAAACGGUCUG